UCAGUUACAGGGGGCUGUUAUUAUCUGCUCGGCUUGCUUCUUUGGGCGUCGAGGUGUUGUCAAUCUGGCCUCUGAAACGCCCUGUGUGCCCGACCAAGCCUGACCGAGGCCCGGACCGCGGUGACUCGGAACCCAUCCCCAGACUGCAGGCUUGAAGGGAGGCCCAGAGCAAGGGGGCGGCCCGGCUUCGCGGACCUCCGGCUUGGUUCUCAGCUCGGUAACCCCAUCCACCUAUGAGGCUGGGAUGCGUAUGUUCGAGCCUGAACAACUCUUUUUCCCCUCUCCGAGCCUCAGGUUUUGUUUCGGCGUCUGGAGCGAUGGGGAUGGUGCGCAGUUCCCCAGACGGAUUCCAGUCUAACCCGCCAGCCACGCAAGAUGCAGCCCUUUUCUCCGGAUCGCACUCUGGAUCGCGACCCCGUCCUCCUGGGGACGAGCAGAGUCUUAACCCGGAGCCGGCGUCUCCGGAUUCCCCACCCGGGCUGAGAUCGCCCGGGGCUGCGGGGUCCAAGCGGCGCCGGGAAGGAAGCUCGGUGGACAGGCUAAUUAGGGACCCAACCUGGCGGCUGAUGACGAAACCGGGAAAGGCUUUGGCCUUUGGAAAACGCAAUCCUUAAAUGAAUAUGGCUGGAUUCCGGGCUGAGAUUAGGAGUUCGAGCCGGAGAAGUCCAGCGGGACUGCAGAGACGCGCUUUCAGGUAGGUUUGGGUCGUUCCAGCGGCUCAGCUCCGGCGGAGCGACUGAGCAAGACAAAAUCAGCCUCCGACUUCGAGCCGACCCCUCGGUUUGGAUCACUUCUGUGCUGGAGCUUGUGAAACCUCUGAACCACGUUGCCCGACCCCGGCCCCAUAAGAAAAACGGAGUUUCCGGCGCCCACUUUCAAAGUGCGUGCGGGCACAAUGGAAACGCGGGACGAAGCGCCAGUCCUGGUAGGUGCCAGGUGCCAAUCUGCCCGCCGCGCUGUUUACGCAGCAAGAAGUCCUCGCAUCCUUUCUGCCUCUGUUCCGAGUCACCGGAGCCUCCCAUCUGAACACUGACCUCGGAAAGGUAUCAAUCAUCAGGAACCACUUCAGAUUUAUUUGGGCAACAGAAAGCUGAGUUUAAGAUCCUUCUCAGCGUCCUCCACCUGUCACCAUUUUAUCGUGACGCCUCAAAACCCAAGCCUGACAGCAGUUCUGUAUUGUUUCCACUGGGAGAGGGAGGCUGGGUAGCAAAGGGACUUGAACGAACCACCUUCCCACUUCAAACCGAAGAGUGUUUGCUCGGAGUCCAUCUCCUUGGAAGGAGAUAGGAAUGGUAAACGGAAUGCGAUUUCACACACUCCUGAAAGGGGAGCCGGCUUCCAUCCCCCAGCCCAGCGAAUGCGCCUCGUUACCAUGUCCACUUGCAAACAGCUAUAAGGACCCUUUUCCUCAGUUUUAAGUUUGAUGUGUUGGUAGCUGGGAGAUUUCAAGUUCAAGAUUUUCCCUUGAUCAUGUACAAAUGAUUUAGAUGCUGGCCGAUCUCCGCCUCACCACUUAUUUAAAGCUUAUCUUUCACUGUACUUUUUCUGAAAAACUCCUCGCAGCAAUUCCACCUCUUUUCCAUAAGUAACAAGCUGCCAGAGGAAACAUUUCAAAGUAUUUCAGUAGUUUCAGUUCACUCCCC
This 1643-nucleotide long non-coding RNA is filed under the name Homo sapiens (human). RNAcentral's name for it is "HSALNT0098266". The record is from RNAcentral. Lineage: Eukaryota; Metazoa; Chordata; Mammalia; Primates; Hominidae.